AGUCGAGGGGUGUAGUUCUUCGGAACUAGAGACCGGCGCACGGGUGCGUAUCGCGUAUGCAAUCUACCUUUUACAGAGGGAUAGCCCAGAGAAAUUUGGAUUAAUACCUCAUAGUAUGCAGAGUUGGCAUCAACACUGCAUUAAAGUCACAACGGUAAAAGAUGAGCAUGCGUCCCAUUAGUUAGUUGGUAAGGUAACGGCUUACCAAGGCGACGAUGGGUAGGGGUCCUGAGAGGGAGAUCCCCCACACUGGUACUGAGACACGGACCAGACUCCUACGGGAGGCAGCAGUGAGGAAUAUUGGUCAAUGGACGCAAGUCUGAACCAGCCAUGCCGCGUGCAGGAUGACGGUCCUAUGGAUUGUAAACUGCUUUUGUACGAGAAGAAACCCUCCAACGUGUUGGAGCUUGACGGUAUCGUAAGAAUAAGGAUCGGCUAACUCCGUGCCAGCAGCCGCGGUAAUACGGAGGAUCCAAGCGUUAUCCGGAAUCAUUGGGUUUAAAGGGUCCGUAGGCGGUUUAGUAAGUCAGUGGUGAAAGCCCAUCGCUCAACGGUGGAACGGCCAUUGAUACUGCUAGACUUGAAUUAUUAGGAAGUAACUAGAAUAUGUAGUGUAGCGGUGAAAUGCUUAGAGAUUACAUGGAAUACCAAUUGCGAAGGCAGGUUACUACUAAUGGAUUGACGCUGAUGGACGAAAGCGUGGGUAGCGAACAGGAUUAGAUACCCUGGUAGUCCACGCCGUANACGAUGGAUACUAGCUGUUGGGAGCAAUCUCAGUGGCUAAGCGAAAGUGAUAAGUAUCCCACCUGGGGAGUACGUUUCGCAGAAUGAAACUCAAAGGAAUUGACG
RNAcentral lists this ribosomal RNA (849 nucleotides) under uncultured Bacteroidota bacterium. RNAcentral's name for it is "bacterial SSU rRNA". It matches the Rfam family "Bacterial small subunit ribosomal RNA", at positions 60 to 915 of the family's 1533-position model. The record is from RNAcentral. Lineage: Bacteria; Pseudomonadati; Bacteroidota.